GUGUCUUUCACUGUCUAUCAUUAUUUAGUCAGUAUGGAGCUCAGUCAACUUCCUCUUGUGCUCUUGCUGAUUUCAGUCAUUCACUCUGGACAAACUGAAGGAACACGCAUUCAGUUCUGUUACUGAGUCUGACGCAGGUAAAUACUCCUGUAAAGGAUCAGAGACAGAAGGAUCACGCUGGUCACAAAUGAGUGAUGCAGUUACACUGACAGUAU
This is a long non-coding RNA of Labeo rohita (rohu), 215 nucleotides long. RefSeq lists it as uncharacterized. The record is from RefSeq and is a predicted model, not a curated record. The transcript has 3 exons. NCBI's taxonomy places the organism in Eukaryota, Metazoa, Chordata, Actinopteri, Cypriniformes, Cyprinidae.